Molecule: long non-coding RNA, 10826 nt
Filed under: Populus tremula
Lineage: Eukaryota; Viridiplantae; Streptophyta; Magnoliopsida; Malpighiales; Salicaceae
Description: long non-coding RNA (PTRE_LNC003445)
Source: RNAcentral
GAUGUGCAAAUAGUAAGGCAUGCACUGCAGAAAUGGCCUUUUUUUCUGAUAUGAGAAACAACUAUUGGUGUACAAACCUUAGAAAGGGCUGAUAUGGCUGGCCAUCCUUAGCAGAACCUCAGGAACUAGUCGCCUUCUCGGAGGUGCCGUGGGAUCCUUGGCUAGAGCUUCCUCAUCACCAGCAUGUAUCACAGAGACCAGAUGGCUGAACAUUUCAUCCUUACCACCUCUUAGUGGAUCCUGAAUGAUGUGACCCAAUCAUUAGGAUGAGUUGGAUUCUCAGUGUCAUAAACGAGUUUCGACAGCCAACUACAUGAGAUUAUUAGUUGUCAAUAUGCCUAAUUUCAUCUCUAAUUUCAUUGUCCUCAUAAUUUUCAGAUUGAAAUUGUAUGGAUAUCUGAGACAUUAAGGAGGCUGAUUAUUUCUAAAUUAAAUAACCCUUUUUUUUGUCAUACAAGUAAGGCAUUGAAUGGAAUAAUGAUAUCAAACUCGAUAUCUAUUGAACUAUAAUCCACUUAUAUAUCUUUGUAAUAUGAAGCACAUCAUUGAUGCCCAAAACAAGAAAUUCUAACCUGGAAGAAGAUGGUAUUGAAUAAUCUGCUGUUCCAUGAAAGAGAAUAAUAGGAGGCAGAAGAGAAACAGCAUUUCCAAUGCUUGGGUCUUCUAUUCUAAGUUCAGGAGAAAAUGAUUGCAAGGAUUCUUCACCUUCCAUCAUGCUGUAACCACAAGUCAGAAAAAAACCUUAGGCAAUAAUUACAUACUAGCAUAAUUCAUCAGUAAAUAUUGAUCAGCAUCCAGUGAGCUUAUAAACAAACGGUACCUUAGAAAAAGAGCACGGUACAGGCCACGGUUGUUGAAAUGAUCGACUAAUUUGCAUAAAUUGUACCUGUUCAGUGUUUCCAGGUAAUCCAUGUAUGAAUUAUAGACCAUAAUGCCAUAAACAAGCAGAUAAGAAAGAGAUGCUGAAACAAACAAAUUACAGAUGUCGAAACCCAAAAUCCUCUAUAUAUCAUCGAAUAUACCAAUGACUCAUGAGUAAUUUGUAGUGUACUGAACCAGACUGUUUUCUCUUAGACAUCGCUCUUUAUUUUCCAAGUUAUUUUGAUCAAUAGUUUAUAAAACAAGAUGACCUAAAUUCGAAAAGAAAAUGAUAACAUAGCAGAGAACAAAGUACUGCAAAGGAAAUUCCGUUGAUUGAUGUCCUUAUGCUGGAUUGAGUGCCAUUUAUGAACAGAGCACACACAGAUGCUUAAUAACUAGUGGAACUGGCAGAGGUAAUGACUCUACUCAUUAUCAUGAGAUUGUUGAAAUAUAAACGCAGCUAAAGUAGUUAUUUUGAUCAAUAGUUUAUUUUCCAAUGACUCAUGAGUAAUUUGUAGUGUACUGAACCAGACAGUGUUUAUUCUAAGACAACGCACUUUAUUUUCCAAGUUAUUUUGAUCAAUAGUUUAUUUUCCAAGAAUUAUUGAUGGUUAAAGGGGCUUGAAUCUCACUUCUCUCGUGUACACAGAUUGGUGGAUACUUAAACAGCUCACAAAGCCCAUCCAAAAUGAAUUAUUUUGGGCACCAAAGUCCCAUUUCAAUAGCUGCGAGAAUGAACGGCGAUUAUAUAUAUAUAUAUUAUGAGUGUUUUCAAAAGUAGUUUGACAUAACAUCACAAUAUAAUUCAUCAAUAAAACUGAUCAAUCUCACAACUAGUGCUGCUUGUUAAAGUGAUAGGGACAUUAUGUGGAGAAAAACAGGAAGAGGUAGAAAAUAUAUACGGUGACACGUCAACUCAUUAAUUCAAGCGCAGAAGGGCGUCGAAGGUGAAAAGCAUUUCGAAGAAGUAUCCGGUGGCAUGUAUAUCACGUGAUUACAAAGUGAUCACCGAGUACGGGAGGAGCUAUGGAAACUACAAAACACACGAGCCCACUUGUCCUUCUUAAACACUUAUAGGCAAAACUCUCCUCCACACUGUGGGCCACAAAAUAGUGCUGCUUGUUAUCAACUACUGUGACAGGAUGGCAGGAACUUCCAUAAUAGGGCUGCUUGUUAUAUUUUAAAAAUAAAAAAAAAAUAAUUAUUAUUUUAUUAUUAUUUUGAAACAUGAAUUUUUUAAAAUGUAUUUUAAAAAUUUUUACGAUUUUUUUAUGAUUUUACGAUCCGUUUUUACAAUCUAAAUUUAUAAAAAACUUUUUAUUUUAUGUUAAAAUCACGAUUUUAAUAACCUUGACUAGCAGCCCUGAAGGCUCACAACGUUUUUCUCUUGGCUUUCCAUGGACAUGCAAUCUCGCCUUUACUUCCACAAUCUUUCAUUGAUUAUACUAUAAUCCUAAUCCGUGCUAUUAAAACUUUUGUAUUUUAGGAUAAUAGCAUUUUAUUUUAUUUUCACUACAUUUAACACCUUCAAAUUUAUAAAGUGUUAUCUUCUAAGAUAUAGAAAUAUUAAAAAUUUAAGUGUAUUAUCUACUUUAUUGAAAAAGUUAAUCAUAAUAAUAAAAUCAUUCAUGUAUAACUUUAAAAGUUAGCUAAAAAAAUCUUAGAAUUGGUGAGGUGUUUGCCCGAUUGAUAAUCUUGAAAAUGACAUAUCUUUAAGUGAAACAAAAUCUCAAAAAGAGAAAUCUUCAAGUAUAGUAAAUAGUUUGGAGUUGAUUCAUCGUAUGGUUUUCAUAGAAAAAGAUUUUUUGGAAGUGUAUUAUAUUUUUUUUAUGUUUGGUAGUGUUAUGAAAAAUAAGUUGAAAAACAUUUUUUAGUGUUUACUUAUACUAUGAAAAAUAAGCUGGAAAAUAAUUAUUAAUGUUGAAAUUUAUUUUUUCAAAUUUAUUAAAAGAAUGAGGACCAAUUUUGAUAUAUGAAAAAUUGAAGGAUAGCAAAAUUGAAAAAAAAAUAUUAUUUCAUAAUUAUUUCAAAUAAAACAAAUAGUAAUAAAAAAAAACGAAGACUAAAUUCACAUAUUAAAAAUUUUAAUUAAAAAAAGAGUCAGAGAAAAAAAUAACAAUUAAAAAAAUAAGGAUCAAAGUUGAUAUAAAAAUCAAAUCAAAUCAAAUUUUAAUAAAUAAAAUUGAAAAAAAAAUUCAAAAGAAAAUAUAUAACAAUCAAAAAAAUAAAUAUUAAAUUUAAUAUAAUCAUCAAAUAAUAUUAUAUUUUUUAUUUUUUACAAUUUCUGAAAAGCAUAUUAUUCCAUUCAAUUUUUUAAAAGCAAAACAUUUUAAAAAAAAUUAAACCAAAUCAUUUUAUUUUCACUAGAAAGAAUUUUUUAUUAAUCAUCUUUUUAAUUAUUAAAUAAACAUGAAAAAGUUCAGAAGAUAGCCUGAUUAAAAAACUAUUUUACAUACAAAUUGGUGGCCAAAGAAAGUCAACAAUAUCAUGCCACCGAAUUUGUGAUGAAGAUUGUCAGCAAUAACAUGCCACAAAAGUUUAAUCCAAAAAAACAAGCCACAAAAGUCUUGAAAUUAAAACCUCAUGAUCAUACAUCAUAGUUUAUUUUUCUUACAUAAAAUAUUCUCAUAUCAGAUUACCAUGUUAAUAAAGAUAGUACUAGCUGUCGGUCGACACUUUACUGCCUUCUAAUCCGUAGUGUUCCAUUCUCAAGGCAUUUCACAAUUCCAAGUGUGCGCAUUACUGUGACCCGGGAGGUGGCAUCUCAAUGGUCGAUUGUCCAGGCCACGUGGUGGCUUCCCCGGGCCACGUGGUGGAUACACCGGGGGACGUGGGCCACGUGGUGGCUUCACCGGGCCACCUUGUUGCAUGGAAGCGUCAUGUGUCCUGUAUGGACCUGCAAGAUUUACUCACACGUGUUAACGUGCUAUGAAAAUUAUCACAAACUCAGUAAAUAUACGGUGCGGUGAUGAAAAUACUGUUAACAGAGGAGAAAGCAAAAGAUGGAGGACCAGCUCAGAAAUCAAAGCAGGCAUAGAUGCAGCGUUAUACAUGAACAUACACUUACAUAUGAACUGUUAUCUGAACAUAUAUUCAAAUAAAUAUGAACUAGCUAGGUACAUGAUUAUCUUAAAUCAUAAGAUCAAUGGAAACGAAAGCAGAUAGAGAAGGUGGGUUCUUCACCUUUAUGGGAUAAUUCUAGGGCAGUGCUCGUGGAAAAGGGAGAGAAGGCAACGGUAGCCAAGAGAAUGCAUAUGAUAAGAAAGGCCUUCAUCUUGGAAAUAUUACUUUGUGUUUAAAAUGGCUAUUGCCUCUUCUCUGCACUCUUAUUUAUAGCCACCACCACCGAAAAUAUCUAGGUGCUACAAUACUUAUUCUAGUAUAAUUUUUUAAAAAUAAAUAAUUAUAUGGAAAUUAAUUUGAUGUGACCUAAUUAAUUUGAUGAGAGUUAUCGCACGUGUGCAGUGUCGCAGCGAUCAUUUAAUUUCUUGGAUUUGGAUUGUCAAGAAUGAUAUGGGUGGAAAUGACAAUGAAUUCAUGUCAUUUAUCAGUAAAAGAACAAAAUAGGAGUCGUCAUCUGUUAUUUUGAUCACUGAGAACCAUAACUGAUUUCGGAGUCUGUAUAAAGAGACUGAUUGCAUAAAGAGAAGGUAUUAGCAUCCCUAGUAUGUUUUAUCUUAGCUUAGCUACAUUGUUUAUUCUGUUAUUUUGAUCACUGAGAACCAUAACUGGUUUCGGAGUCUGUAUAAAGAGACCGAUUGCAUAAAAAGAAGGUAUUAGCAUCCCUAGAAUGUCUUACCUUAGCUUAACUACAUUGUUUAUUCUGUUAUUUUAAUCACUGAGAACCAUAACUGGUUUCGGAGUCUGUAUAAAGAGACCGAUUGCAUAAAGAAAAGGUAUUAGCAUCCCUAAUAUGUCUUACUUGAGCUUAGCUACAUUGUUUAUUCUGUUAUUUUGAUCACUGAGAACCAUAACUGGUUUCGGAGUCUGUAUAAAGAGACCGAUUGCAUAAAGAGAAGGUAUUAGCAUUCCUAGUAUGUCUUACCUUAGCUUAGCUACAUUGUUUAUUUAUCUGAUAUAAAAUAAAGAAAUAUUAUGUUUUUUUAAUCGUUGGUGUGUCUAAGAUAUAAGAAAUAUUCUCCUUAAUAAAAAGGUCCUUAUAUUAUCAGAUUAAAACAAAAAUCGUUCUAAUGUCAACAUAAAAAUAUAAACUAUCUUUUUAUUUAAUAUCAGAAAUAUCUUUUAUUUAUGAGUUCAUAAUCUUGUAUAUUAAAAGAAACAAAAAAACUUUUUUUUUAUUUUAAUAUCAUAAAUAUAUCUUUCGUAUAAGUUUAUAAUCUCACUUGUUAAAAUAAACAAAAUAAAACUUUUUUAGUAUUUUUAAAAUAUAGACCAAAAUCUUUUGGAAUUUUACAAACUUGUUAUAAAAUUCAUACAAUAUUUUUUUAAAAAAAAAGCAUGUCAAAGUAUUUUAGAUUUUUUUUAAAAAAAAAAAGCUUAAAUAACUUUAGGAUUUUUAGCCAUGUGCAAGAAUAUAAAUAUUUUUUUAUUAUUUUCAUAGGCUUUAUUUGACAAAAACUCAAUUUUUUUUUAAUAAAACUACCAAAUAUAGCUUAAUGGGUGUUUGUCAAACACACCUUUAAACCCAAAAACCCUUUAACAAAAAUUAUGGCAAACCAAACAAGGUAUUAAAACCUGUAACCAAAUUUUUUUUACUUGACGCAAUCAAUUGUUGACUCGAUUAGGUGGACCCGAGAUUUUUGGUUCGACCAUAAAUCAAGCUAGAAAUCCUGGUUUGACCCAAAAACAAGACCAAAGCCAAAAAAAAAAAAAAACACCAAAAACCAAAACUCAAAAGAACUUGAGCAAAAUGGAUCAAACACCAAAAAAAAUAACAUCAAGAACACCGAACAAACCUAGCAACAUAAAAUCCAAAACAAACAAAAUUUGAUCAAAACAAAGGCACAUAUAUGUUGGAAAUCAUAUAAGGAUCGGUAAUCUUGCAUCCAUUUACUUUGAUUAUCACUUAAACAUCACAAUUGUGUCAAAAUAAGUUUCAGUUCUAAACCAAAACUUUAGGAUUGAAAAUCGUUAAAAUCAUGUUAUUGAUGCAAAUAAACACUGGAUUAUUAUUUAAUCAUACAUAAAAAAAAGGGUUAUAUACAAAGAAAUGGACCGAAAUCAGUCCAAACCUAUAGGCUAAGGCAACAUUCUUUCCAAGAACACGAAGAACAUUGCUUAAAAAACUUAGAAAAGUUCCUAGCCAAGACAACCUCUACCAAACCUAGAAAUGGGCAUUUUUUUGUUUCUAUAACAUGCUUUAUAUAUAUAUAUAUAUAUAUCUCAAGAAGUCACAAUAUCAUACACAAACAUGUUUGAACCAAAAAACUAACAAAAAAAAAAACAUCAAAAUCAAGCAUAAGGUAUCAAAUAAUAAAAAUUAUCAACUUAAAACAAUCUAUAUGUUCAUACAAGAUGGAUUCAAAAUUAAUUUUCUGAAUUCAUUUGGUGCAUGAACAGACCUAACAAACCUAGAAUAAACAUCAUUGUUUUAACAGACCUAACAAACCUAGAAUAAACAUCAUUGUUUUAACACGUAUAGUUUAAGUUAAACAAAAACUAAAACUGAAAAAACAAUGUAUAUGAAAAACAAACUUAAAUAACAACUUUAAUAUAUCAAGAAUAUAAAAAAAAUACUUCAAAAUAACUUAUUUAAAUAAAAUCACAUCAAUAAAGAGAUCAAUAAAGAGGUAAAUGGAAUAUUAUUUGUUAAAUAUUUUAAACUUUUUUUCUACUUUUAAAUAUAAAUAUAAAACAAAAUAAAUAAAUAAAUAAAACAAUAAAAGCAGCCCACCAAAAACCUACUUUUAGAUCAACAAUGUGUAGGAACAAUUACUUUCUCUUGGCUUUCCUUUGGAAAAUUUUGCUACUGGAGUUUGUUGCUGUCGUGACCGAGAGGAAGAGAAAACUCUGGUGCUGCUGCAACUAGGAGGACAACCACUACUUUUGUUGCUGAGGAACUGUUCACAGUGCAGAGGAGAGAAACAGCGCUGCUGUUGUCCAUGGCUGAAACAGAGGAGUGGAAGUGCAGUAACUACCGCUCAAGGUUGUUGCUGUUGUCUGUUGCUGGAAGGAGGGGCUUUCACUGUUGCUCAGGAUUGAAGAGAAGAUGUCGCCGGUUGCUAUUGCUAUGGUUGAGGAAUAAAAGGGAGGUUGUUUGUGGUUGUGAGGCUGAUGGUGGCCAGCUGGAGGGAGAUUACGGUGCUGCUGCUGGAAGGGUGGCUGGCCUUGAGUGCUGGACCGGGAAGGAGAAGUUGUUGGUGCAAGAGGGAUCACCUCUGCUGUUGCUGCUUCAAUGGAGGAAUGAAAGUUAGGAGAGAGUUGCUGCUCCUGAUGCUGCUUUCCCACGGUGCGGAGAAGAUGACGAUGGAUACUGCUAAGGAAGAUCUCUCAUUGUUGCUUAAAGUCAGAGGAGAUGAAGACUCUGCUCACGUUUGAAGCUUACAGAGCGGCUGAGGAGGUCUUGGUGGUGAUGUAUUUGGGAGAGAUUAUGUUAGUGUUUUUAAUGCAAUAAAAGUUGUGAUGCUGGCUUUAAGUUAAGUACAAAUAUCAGGGUAUAAUUUAGCAUAAAAUUUGUGUGGUAUGAUGAAGAGGUUAGAGAGUAAUUAGUUAGGGCUAAAAGAUGGCGUAUUUAAGCAUCUUUUUUCUUUUGUUUUAGGGGAAAAAAUCAAUGAAUAGUGAAAUUAUAAUUUUUCUCAAUCUGGUCCUUGAAUUUUUGGCACUUGUAAUGGAAUCCUCAAUCAGCCCUAAUAUUUUGGAUUCCUUGCAAUUUCACCAUUAUCCCUCUUUAAUUGGACCAUUAAAUUUCAAAGUUUUGUAUAAAGUAUUCCUUAGUUUUAGAUUUUUUUUAUUAUGGUCCUCAAUUAAACUCCAUACUUUAAAUUUAUUUCAAUUAAGCCUCUAAUUUAGACUUUCAAAGUUUGAAUUGUGUCCAUAAUCUUCUAAUCUUUGCGAAUUGAUCCGAAUUAGAUCUUUAAAAUUGUUUUUUUUCAAUUGAGUCCUUUAUUGAAUCCACAAUACUCAUUAGAAAUUUAAUUAAGUCAUUGAACUCAAUUAACUUUUCUGAUUUAUUUUUUCUAAUUGGCUUUCAAACUUAAUUUUUUUUCAAUUAAGUCCUUAAAUAAGUCAAUUAAACCUUUUAAAAAUUUAAUUAAGUCCUUAAACUUAAUUAAUUCUUCCAGUUUUUGUCAAGGUUGGAUUUCAACCUUUAUUAUCUUCAUUUCUUCAUCAAAUUCUAUCAAAACAUCUCAAUCUGACUAUUCUUCAAGUAUUUUGGUCUUUUUCAGCUCAAAAACUUAUCUCCUUGUGUCCCAAAAUUUUUUUUGGAUUUUAUGUUUUUUGGAUUUUUUUAAAAAAAAAAACUAUACACUUUUUAUAAAACAAAUUUGGGGGAGGGGGGGAUUGGGUUAUGAUAUAUAGCAAAGUUCUCAUAGAUUAAUAAAAUUGUUAUUAAAUCUAAAAAUACAUGUAAAAACAAAAAAAAAUCUUGAAUUUUGGUAGUAAAAAAUGCUAACUUAUGCCAUGUAUUUUUAUUAUUUUUAUGCAAAUUUGAUUUUUUUGUGAGACUUGGCCAUACAUAAUUUAAAAUAUUUAAAUAUGUUUUUAAAGAUAUAUUUUGGUUGUUUUUGUAUUUUAUUUUUACCAAAAAAAAAUGAUUUAUUUAAUACUAGAAAAGCGCUCACAUGUAGGUUAUAAUCUCAAAUAUUAAAUAAAAAGGAGCAAAACAAUGACAAACAUAAAAAUUAUUGCAAAUACAUUCCUUAAAGGCAUAAAAGUGAAUUAAUUAAAAAAAAACAAGGGCUAUGUUUGGCAAAACAAGAAAUAUUUGGUAAAGAAAACUAUCAUAACUUUGUUAGGGCGUGUUUGGCAAACACACCUUAAGAAUAAAAAAAAAUAUUUUUCUCUUAAUAAAAAGAUGUCAAGCCAAACAUUGCUCUAAGCCUGAAAUGGGAUCAGCCUAACCAUGUGGGUUAGGCUUUCUAGCCUGGCCUAGGUCCAAGAACAAGGUUCAAAGAUAGAAACUCAAAAACAAAGAUCAAGCGAGAAAUUUUGUUUGAAAGAGCCAAGAACAUGAAGAACACCUUCGAUGAACCUGAAAACAUGGAUGAAAUAAUAGACUAGAUUUCGUUAAACAAAAAGCAUGUAUAAUCAACGAUAAGCUUUAAUCUUCAUCAAAAUGACAUGGUAGUGAAAAAUGUUCGGGGUUCUAAGGAUCGAUUGAUCCAAAACAAGUUAUAAAAAAAAUAUAUAUAUGGUAUAUAACGAUCAGGCAUGAGUUAUAGCUUCGAGUGAAGCUUAUUAGAGAGGCUAAAAUGCCAAAACAUAAAAAAGCCUAAAUCUCGGUUCAAGAACAUGAACCCAGAAAUUCAAAAAAAACCUAAAAAGCCCCAGCAAAACCAUAAAAAUAGAAACUAACUAAAACCUCAAAAGAAAAGUCUGAACUUGUCAAACUUAUUUAAAGCAUGCUUAUGAUGACCUACUAGAACUUCCAAAACUAAAAGAAAACAUGUAAAAGAAACAAAAUAAGAAUUUGUCCACAUAAUCGAUAAGAACUAGUAAUUUUUUGAAAUCUUUAAACAUUGUUACAUUAGUUUUAACACCUUUUUUUUUCAUCAUUUUUAAACAUGCAUAGCAGCUUAACUAACUCGGCAUUGUAUAAAACACAAAUUAAAAGCACGGUCUUUGUAAAUCACAUUAAUACAUUAAAAAAACAAAUCCAAAUCAAAAUGAUUAACCUAAACUUCAAAACAUUAUAAUUGACGUUCAAACAUUCUAAUUACAUGUUUUUUUAACAAUAAAUUACAUACUCGAAACUAGCUUAAACUUACUUCUCUUAACAAAUGCAUAUCACAUCUAAAAAUAAAAACAUGUUAAACAUAACUUCUAAAAUAAAAUAAGAUCAACAUAAUCAAUAACAAAUAAAUGAAACAUUGAUAUGGAAGACAUUAAAGGAGAGGUGUGCCCAUUGGGAUACACUAUCUCACUAAUGUUUUAGGUGUGCCCAUUGAAUAAUGCACUUUUCUUUUCUAGGUUUUAUUGCGUAUUUCCCCUUGUUUUUAGCUUUUAAUCUUUAGCUUGUAUGAACCUACUCUUUUCUCCUUUCUUCCUUCAAAUCUUUAUGCGAUUUCUUAACUUUGUCUCUCUAUUUAAUCAAGAAUUCUUCUCUCUUUUCUCUCUACUUUUCUCCCUCUUUUCCCUUUGUGAUUUUAUUCUUCCUCCUUUAUCAUUUCCCUCUAAAAAAAGACCUCCAUUUUGGUUUAAUAGCACUUGCCCUUUUAUAAACAAACCAAAACUAGAAGUUGCAAAAUCAUGAUGGUUUUGCACAAGAUGCGUGGUUUAUAGAAGAUUGUUACUCAUUCUAUCAUCUAACCUCCCUAGAAAUGUGCAUUCUAAUUCAUUUUUUUUUUUUGAGCUCGAACCUAUCAGGAUAAGGCAGCCAUGAAGUCUACUCAAACAUGGGGUUUUCUUAUUUAGUCAUGGUUGAUUGAGUGGGCUACUUUGAUGAGAUCAUCGUGAAAAAUAGGAUAUAAACAUGUCAUAGGCAAACAUGAAUCGUGUAGAUAGAGAUAACCUACCUUUAGAAACAAACUUCAUCUUGUUUGGAGGUCUAGAACUCCUCAUUCAAUUGUUGGAAGAUCGGUCCUUAAUUAGCUUGCAGUUGUCAACGCAGGGGAGGUUGACUAGGAACAAGAUAUUGUCAACAUCAUUAAAUAAAAUAGGAUGUAAAUGUAAAUGUAUUGGUGUACAAACCUUAGAAAGGGCUGAUAUGGCUGGCCAUUCUUAGCAGAACCUCAGGAACUAGUCGCCUUCUCGGAGGUGCCGUGGCAUCCUUGGCUAGAGCUUCCUCAUCACCAGCAUGUAUCACAGCGACCAGAUGGCUGAACAUUUCAUCCUUACCACCUCUU